GGGGGGGGGGGGGGGGGGGGGGGGGGGGGGGGGGGGGGGGGGUGGGGGGGGUCAGGUUGGUGGUGCGCUGGCGGGGGGCGGACGGGUGGGUAAUGGGUGGGGGAGGGGCUGGUGGGGGGGGAUAACGAGUGGGACGGGUAGGUAAUACGGGAUAGCGUGGCAGGCACACAGCGGGGGACGUGCGGGGCUCGUGGCCUCGGGUGAGGCCAGUUGGGAUUAGAUAGUAGCGGGGGUAACGGCUCAACUAGGAGAGGAGCCCUAGCUGGUCUGAGAGGAUGACCAGCCACACUGGAACUGAGACACGGUCCAGACUCCUACGGGAGGCAGCAGUGGGGAAGAUUGCACAAUGGUGGCAAGCCUGAUGCAGCCAUGCCGCGUGUAUGAAGAAGGCCUUCGGGUUGUAAAGUACUUUCAGCGGGGAGGAAGGGAGUAAAGUUAAUACCUUGGCUCAUUGACGUUACCCGCAGAAGAAGCACCGGCUAACUCCGUG
This 490-nucleotide ribosomal RNA is filed under the name uncultured bacterium. RNAcentral's name for it is "partial 16S ribosomal RNA". It matches the Rfam family "Bacterial small subunit ribosomal RNA", at positions 38 to 507 of the family's 1533-position model. The record is from RNAcentral.